AUGCACGCUGGCGGCGUGCCUCAUACAUGCCAGUCGAGCGAACGGACAAGAAGCUUGCUUCUCUGAUGUUAGCGGCGGACGGGUGAGUAACACGUGGAUAACCUACCUAUAAGACUGGGAUAACUUCGGGAAACCGGAGCUAAUACCGGAUAAUAUUUUGAACCGCAUGGUUUAAAAGUGAAAGACGGUCUUGCUGUCACUUAUAGAUGGAUCCGCGCUGCAUUAGCUAGUUGGUAAGGUAACGGCUUACCAAGGCAACGAUGCAUAGCCGACCUGAGAGGGUGAUCGGCCACACUGGAACUGAGACACGGUCCAGACUCCUACGGGAGGCAGCAGUAGGGAAUCUUCCGCAAUGGGCGAAAGCCUGACGGAGCAACGCCGCGUGAGUGAUGAAGGUCUUCGGAUCGUAAAACUCUGUUAUUAGGGAAGAACAUAUGUGUAAGUAACUGUGCACAUCUUGACGGUACCUAAUCAGAAAGCCACGGCUAACUACGUG
Molecule: ribosomal RNA, 496 nt
Filed under: uncultured bacterium
Lineage: Bacteria
Description: partial 16S ribosomal RNA
Rfam family: Bacterial small subunit ribosomal RNA
Source: RNAcentral